Molecule: ribosomal RNA, 377 nt
Filed under: uncultured bacterium
Lineage: Bacteria
Description: bacterial SSU rRNA
Rfam family: Bacterial small subunit ribosomal RNA
Source: RNAcentral
UAAUACGUAGGUUGCGAGCGUUGUCCGGAUUUACUGGGCGUAAAGCGCACGCAGGCGGUUCCGAAAGUCGAAUGUGAAAGCUCCUGGCCCAACUGGGAGAGGCCGUUCGAAACUUCGGGACUUGAAGGCGGGAGAGGCAGAUGGAAUUUCCGGUGUAGCGGUAAAAUGCGUAGAUACCGGAAGGAACACCAGUGGCGAAAGCGAUCUGCUGGCCCGCCCUUGACGCUCAGGUGCGAAAGCUAGGGGAGCGACCGGGAUUAGAUACCCCGGUAGUCCUGGCCCUAAACGAUGAAUGCUUGGUGUGGCGGGUAUCGAUCCCUGCCGUGCCGAAGCUAACGCAUUAAGCAUUCCGCCUGGGGAGUACGGUCGCAAGGCUG